GCCUUCGUGAUGUAGUGGUCAGCACGCUCGACGCGUAACCGAGAGGUCCGUGGUUCGAUUCCCGACGAAGGCG
RNAcentral lists this transfer RNA (73 nucleotides) under Stegodyphus mimosarum. It matches the Rfam family "tRNA". Rfam says of the family: Transfer RNA (tRNA) molecules are approximately 80 nucleotides in length. Their secondary structure includes four short double-helical elements and three loops (D, anti-codon, and T loops). The record is from Rfam by way of RNAcentral. Lineage: Eukaryota; Metazoa; Arthropoda; Arachnida; Araneae; Eresidae.